RNAcentral lists this ribosomal RNA (281 nucleotides) under unidentified marine bacterioplankton. Its description in RNAcentral is "partial 16S ribosomal RNA". It matches the Rfam family "Bacterial small subunit ribosomal RNA", at positions 59 to 339 of the family's 1533-position model. The record is from RNAcentral. RNAcentral also lists the same sequence under 1 other name.
AAGUCGAACGGUGACGGAGGAGCUUGCUCUUCCUGAUCAGUGGCGAACGGGUGAGUAACACGUGGGCAACCUGCCCCUGACUUUGGGAUAACGCUUCGAAAGAGGUGCUAAUACCGGAUAUGAGCCUCCCUGGCAUCUGGGGGGCUGGAAAGUUUUUCGGUCAGGGAUGGGCCCGCGGCCUAUCAGCUUGUUGGUGAGGUAAUGGCUCACCAAGGCGACGACGGGUAGCCGGCCUGAGAGGGCGACCGGCCACACUGGGACUGAGACACGGCCCAGACUCC